GAUGAACGCUGGCGGCAUGCCUUACACAUGCAAGUCGAACGGCAGCACGGGAGCAAUCCUGGUGGCGAGUGGCGAACGGGUGAGUAAUAUAUCGGAACGUGCCCAGUCGUGGGGAUAACGUAGCGAAAGCUACGCUAAUACCGCAUACGAUCUAUGGAUGAAAGCGGGGGAUCGCAAGACCUCGCGCGAUUGGAGCGGCCGAUAUCAGAUUAGGUAGUUGGUGAGGUAAUGGCUCACCAAGGCGACGAUCCGUAACUGGUCUGAGAGGAUGAUCAGUCACAUUGGGACUGAGACACGGCCCAAAACUCCUACGGGAGGCAGCAGUGGGGGAAUAUUGGACAAUGGGCGCAAGCCUGAUCCAGCCAUGCCGCGUGAGUGAUGAAGGCCCUAGGGUUGUUAAAAGGCUCUUUUC
Molecule: ribosomal RNA, 412 nt
Filed under: uncultured bacterium
Lineage: Bacteria
Description: bacterial SSU rRNA
Rfam family: Bacterial small subunit ribosomal RNA
Source: RNAcentral